Myotis lucifugus (little brown bat) is the source of this 1154-nucleotide RNA transcript. It is a transcript of the gene named cytochrome c1, heme protein, mitochondrial pseudogene, with no coding region annotated. Lineage: Eukaryota; Metazoa; Chordata; Mammalia; Chiroptera; Vespertilionidae. The transcript is spliced from 2 exons. The record is from RefSeq and is a predicted model, not a curated record.
AUGCAUCCUACGUAUGAUAAGAAGGUUCUGAGGCGCGGGGCGGUGCUGGGCCCACGGGGCGCGCAGGCCCGGGGUCUGCUGUGUGGUGCGCGGCCCAGGCAGCUCCCGCUGCGGACGCCUCAGGCAGUGUCCUUGUCGUCCAAGUCUGGUCCGUCCCGGGGCCGAAAAGUGAUGCUGUCCGUGCUGGGCAUGCUGGCGGCAGGGGGUGCAGGGCUGGCCGUGGGCCGUGAGUGCCAGCGACCUGGAGCUGCACCCCUCCCGCCCCCCCGCCCCGCCCCCCCGAGCUACCCGUGGUCUCACCGCGGCCUCCUCUCCUCCCUGGACCACACCAGCAUCCGGAGGGGCUUCCAGGUAUACAAGCAGGUGUGCUCCUCCUGCCACAGCAUGGACUACGUGGCUUACCUCCACCUGGUGGGCGUGUGCUACACUGAGGAUGAAGCUAAAGCCCUGGCCGAAGAGGUGGAGAUUCAGGACGGCCCCAAUGAUGAUGGGGAGAUGUUCAUGCGACCCAGAAAGCUGUCUGACUACUUCCCCAAACUGUACCCCAACCCUGAGGCUGCCAGAGCAGCCAACAAUGGAGCCAUGCCCCCUGACCUCAGCUACAUCGUGCGAGCUAGGCACGGUGGUGAAGACUACGUCUUCUCCCUGCUCACGGGCUACUGUGAGCCGCCCACCAGGGUGUCGCUACAAGAAGGCCUCUAUUUCAACCCCUACUUCCCUGGCCAGUCCAUUGGCAUGGCUCCUCCCAUCUACGACGAGGUCUUGGAGUUUGACGAUGGCACCCCAGCUACCAUGUCCCAGGUAGCCAAGGAUGUGUGCACCUUCCUGCGCUGGGCAUCCGAGCCAGAGCAUGACCAUCGGAAACGCAUGGGGCUCAAGAUGUUGAUGAUGAUGGGUUUGCUGUUGCCCCUGGUCUACGCCAUGAAGCGGCAUAAGUGGUCAGUACUGAAGAGCCGGAAGCUGGCAAAUCGUCCACCCAAGUGACCCUGCUGAAGGUCUGCUUGCCAUCCUGUUUGAAUGGGCCUUCAAGCCAAGAAGCUACCCUGGGUCUCUUUAGACCCCAGCUGGCCCUCUUGGCCAAGCCCCUCUUCUCUGGGACAAAAGGGGAGGGGGCAGGAGACCGGGCUGGAGCUCCAGAUCCUUCAGCCUCUAUC